Molecule: ribosomal RNA, 243 nt
Filed under: uncultured bacterium
Lineage: Bacteria
Description: partial 16S ribosomal RNA
Rfam family: Bacterial small subunit ribosomal RNA
Source: RNAcentral
GAUCCUGGCUCAGGAUGAACGCUGGCGGCGUGCUUAACACAUGCAAGUCGAACGAAGCACUUUAUUACGAUUUCUUCGGAAUGACGAUUUAGUGACUGAGUGGGCGGACGGGGUGAAGGUAACGCGUGGGUAACCUGCCUUAUACAGGGGGAUAACAGUUAGAAAUGACUGCUAAUACCGCAUAAGCGCACAGGAUUGCAUGAUCUGGUGUGAAAAACUCCGGUGGUAUAAGAUGGACCCGCG